UGUCAAGAAGCAGCUGCCCAGCCAGAACCUUUUAUUUCUCUGCCACUGUCAGAGGAGAGGGGCCUAAAAGACUAAUAGGGCCAAAACAAUGUGAGCAGAAGUAAUACAUCACUUCAGGGUUGAAGUUGAUGGAGAUGUGUAUCACUUCUGGGAAGAAAUUAAGAAGCCAUGUCUCGCAUAUAAUCUCUUUUCCUAUUGCCAGAUGAAUGGAAAGUCUCCAAGGAAAAGUCAUAAGAUGGAAAUAGCCUGGGUCCUGAAAUGACCCAUCUAUCAAGUAUAUCAGCAUUGGACAUGACAUUAGGCAAAUCUGCUGGUGAUGAAUUCCCUCAGUUUUUGUUUAUCUGAGAAAACCUUUAUUUCCCCUUCACAUUUCAAGGAUAAUUUUGCUGGACAUAGAACUCCAUGUUGAUGCUCCCAGAAGUCUUAGAAGGAGAAUGUGCCAGUCAGAAAUAUCCCAUGAAUCUAUGAGGGAGAAAUUCAUAAAACUGUAUGGAUCAUGAUCUUUUAC
This is a long non-coding RNA of Mustela erminea (ermine), 508 nucleotides long. RefSeq lists it as uncharacterized. The record is from RefSeq and is a predicted model, not a curated record. Lineage: Eukaryota; Metazoa; Chordata; Mammalia; Carnivora; Mustelidae. The transcript is spliced from 3 exons.